GCCGGUAUAGCUCAGCAGGUAGAGCAACUGACUUGUAAUCAGUAGGUCCCGAGUUCGAUUCUUGGUGCCGGCACCA
This 76-nucleotide transfer RNA is filed under the name Pseudomonadales bacterium. RNAcentral describes it as "tRNA-Thr". It matches the Rfam family "tRNA". Rfam says of the family: Transfer RNA (tRNA) molecules are approximately 80 nucleotides in length. Their secondary structure includes four short double-helical elements and three loops (D, anti-codon, and T loops). Lineage: Bacteria; Pseudomonadati; Pseudomonadota; Gammaproteobacteria; Pseudomonadales. The record is from RNAcentral.